RNAcentral lists this ribosomal RNA (497 nucleotides) under uncultured bacterium. Its description in RNAcentral is "partial 16S ribosomal RNA". It matches the Rfam family "Bacterial small subunit ribosomal RNA", at positions 28 to 507 of the family's 1533-position model. The record is from RNAcentral.
GAUGAACGCUGGCGGCGUGCCUAAUACAUGCCAGUCGAGCGAACAGACGAGGAUCUUGCUCCUCUUACGUUAGCGGCGGACGGGUGAGUAACACGUGGAUAACCUACCUAUAAGACUGGGAUAACUUCGGGAAACCUGAUCUAAUACCGGAUAAUAUAUUGAACCGCAUGGUUCAAUAGUGAAAGACGGUUUUGCUGUCACUUAUAGAUGGAUCCGCGCCGCAUUAGCUAGUUGGUAAGGUAACGGCUUACCAAGGCAACGAUGCGUAGCCGACCUGAGAGGAUGAUCAGUCACACUGGAACUGAGACACGGUCCAGACUCCUACGGGAGGCAGCAGUAGGGAAUAUUCCGCAAUGGGCGAAAGCCUGAAGGAGCAACGCCGCGUGAGUGAUGAAGGUCUUCGGAUCGUAAAACUCUGUUAUUAGGGAAGAACAAAUGUGUAAGUAACUAUGCACGUCUUGACGGUACCUAAUCAGAAAGCCACGGCUAACUACGUG